This 73-nucleotide transfer RNA is filed under the name Bos taurus (domestic cattle). It matches the Rfam family "tRNA". From Rfam's summary of the family: Transfer RNA (tRNA) molecules are approximately 80 nucleotides in length. Their secondary structure includes four short double-helical elements and three loops (D, anti-codon, and T loops). Lineage: Eukaryota; Metazoa; Chordata; Mammalia; Artiodactyla; Bovidae. RNAcentral also lists the same sequence under 3 other names. The record is from Rfam by way of RNAcentral.
UCUCUGGUGGUCCAGUGGCUAAGACUUUGCAAUCCUAAUGCAGGGGGCACAGGUUCGUUUCCUGGUCAGGGAA